Molecule: ribosomal RNA, 469 nt
Filed under: uncultured bacterium
Lineage: Bacteria
Description: partial 16S ribosomal RNA
Rfam family: Bacterial small subunit ribosomal RNA
Source: RNAcentral
GACGAACGCUGGCGGCGUGCUUAACACAUGCAAGUCGAACGGAAAGGCCCUGCUUGCAGGGUGCUCGAGUGGCGAACGGGUGAGUAACACGUGGGUGAUCUGCCCCUUACUUUGGGAUAAGCCUGGGAAACUGGGUCUAAUACUGGAUAGGACCAUGCUGUAGGUGGUGUGGUGGAAAGAUUAGUUUCGGUAAGGGAUGAGCUCGCGGCCUAUCAGCUUGUUGGUGGGGUAAUGGCCUACCAAGGCGUCGACGGGUAGCCGGCCUGAGAGGGUGGACGGCAACAUUGGGACUGAGAUACGGCCCAGAAGCCGACAAGAGGGAGCAGUGGGGGAAAGUGCACAAUGGGCGCAAGCCUGAUGCGGCGACGCCGCGUGGGUGAUGAAGGCCUUCGGGUUGUAAACUCCUUUCAGCCAUGACGAAGCCCUUGUGGUGACGGUAGUGGAAGAAGAAGCACCGGCUAACUACGUG